This 200-nucleotide small RNA is filed under the name Achromobacter xylosoxidans. RNAcentral's name for it is "Manganese sequence". It matches the Rfam family "Manganese Mn2+ riboswitch aptamer (yybP-ykoY)". Rfam says of the family: This RNA was originally discovered in E. coli during a large scale screen and was named SraF. The family was later found to exist upstream of related families of protein genes in many bacteria, including the the yybP and ykoK genes in B. subtilis. The specific functions of these proteins are unknown, but this structured RNA element may be involved in their genetic regulation as a riboswitch. The record is from RNAcentral. Lineage: Bacteria; Pseudomonadati; Pseudomonadota; Betaproteobacteria; Burkholderiales; Alcaligenaceae.
CGCUCUGUCAUUGGGGAGUAGCCAUCCUUUGUCCCCUCAAAGGAGCUAGCGUCAACAGACUUGGUGGUUCAGCGCUGCGCAGCAGCCGCUAGAACUCCAUGGCGCUAGUAGCGGUUCCAUGCAUGUCGGCAAGCCCGCCGCAUGGACCAGCCAGGCGAGACCUUUGGCCGCGUUGCGUUCACCCCAGCCGGGCGAGCCGC